GGGAAUUGAACCCCAGCCCUCUCCCAUGCUAAGGGAGCGCUCUACCACUGAGCUAUACCCCCGACGAG
RNAcentral lists this transfer RNA (68 nucleotides) under Caenorhabditis elegans. RNAcentral's name for it is "Unclassified non-coding RNA M03A1.10". Lineage: Eukaryota; Metazoa; Nematoda; Chromadorea; Rhabditida; Rhabditidae. The record is from RNAcentral.